This 1331-nucleotide long non-coding RNA is filed under the name Chinchilla lanigera (long-tailed chinchilla). RNAcentral's name for it is "lncRNA (ENSCLAG00000024535.1)". Lineage: Eukaryota; Metazoa; Chordata; Mammalia; Rodentia; Chinchillidae. The record is from RNAcentral.
CCCCUUUUUAUUUAUUGAUUGCUGCGUCUUUAUCAUUCUUCACACAGGUUGGAUUUUUCGUUAGAAAAGAUUUUGGCUUAUAUUUUGUUUUUUAAAGUGGUGUUAACAGAACAGAUGUUUUUAACUGUAUAAUGUAUGAGUUAAUCAUUUUUCUAUGGAUGAUUCUUUUAGUUUUGCAUUCAAGAAAUCUUUGCUGGGGGUUGGUGGUGCAGCUCAGUGGUAUAAUGUGUGAUGGGUUUGUAUGUGUUUCUGGGUUCACUGUUUAGUACCGCCACCCCCCUGCCAAAAGAAGAAAAUCUUUGCCUAACCUCCUAACUGAGGAUCACAAAUAUAUUUCUCACACUUUUUCUAUCUAAUGUUUUAUAGUUCUACGUUUUAUAUUUAGACAGUCAUUCACUUUUUGCUUUGUUUUGUUUGUUACAAGGUCACACUAUGUAGUUCAGGCUGGCUUUGAACUCACUGUGUAACCCCGGCUGGCCUCAAACUUGUGGCAAACCUCCUGCCUCAGCCUCCUAAUUAUUGGAUUAUAAGCAUGCACCACCACAACUGCAUUGUGGGUUCAUUUCAUAAGAGUAGAAUUAUUCACAAAAUGUCUGUGCUUUUUAUUUUUUAGAAUUGCAUUUGAAUUCAUUAUAAAUAAAUUUUUUAAAAAUGUAAUUUCAAUGUGACAAGUAAUUUUAUAUUGAAAACUUCGUAAAUUGUUGUGUUACUAAUUCAAUAGUACCACCUUUUCUCAAAGCAAAAAUAAAAUCUCAAAUACAACCUAUGUUUUGUCUCUCAGGUGCGAGCAUAUGAAUUCAACAUUGAAGUUCAUAUUAAUUCCUUCAGGUCAUCAGAACUCUACAAUGAGUAUUUAGCAAUGGAAAAGCCUUUGAUGCCAAAGACGAUUCCGCUUAUGCAACCUUGUUUUGUUCAAGCUACUGUAUUGAAAGCACCAUUGAAAUUGUCCAAGACCAGAUUUGUAUUUCAUGUCCCUUUAUAUGAAAUGCAAGAUAAUUGUAUGGUCAGAAGAACUGAGGUAUGUAUAGAAAACUGAUAGAAUUUAAAAUUCCUUUUGAAUUAUGGUUUUUAGUUCAGUAAAUUGAUUGUUUUGAAACAUGAAUGAUUUGAACUAUAUAACUAGUUACUCCAAAUAUUUACAACAUUUGGAGCAAGAAGAGUAUUGUCAAUUUUAGAGAACUUUAUUGUGUGUCUAUGUGUGUGUAUGUAUAAGUAUAUAUUACUUAUGUAUAAAUAUAAUUUAUAUAUAUUUACUUAUAAAUAUAUUUAUACUUAAGUAUAAUUUUACAUAUUACUUAUGUAAAAUUUUUCAGUUUUUGAAGUCCACUAAU